ACCGCCCGCCCGCCUCAGGGACGCGCCGGCCGUUGGGCCCGGCGGUCGGCAGGCGCAGAGGGAAGGCCCGGGGCGUGUGUCCGUGUGUCCUCGCACGUAUCCGCGGGCCGAUUCCGGCAUGGCGCGGGAAAGGACCUGCGGCCCCGGCGGGAGGGGGGACCCGCCGUGGAGUCCGGGUGGGGUGCUGCCCCCGAGCGCUUCGGUGCGGCUUUGAACCCGGCCCGGGAGGGUUUCCGAGGGCACCUGAGCGAAAGUAGAAGUCACUCCAACAGGCGUUCCCUUUAUUCAAUCAGCUAAAGCGGGAAUCGCCAGUAGAGAAGUCACUCACGAGACGGCAGCUAGCCUUGCUUGUCUUUCCGAGACCUGCCACCCCGUGACAUGCAGAACCCUGAGGUGAGACCCAGUGACCCCUACGAGGGGGAGGAGCGAUGUACGGAAGAAAUGAGAUAUGCGGAAGCCAGCAGUGUGGAGUGGAGAGUAAGCUAGUCAACAGCAGGGGCCAAGGAGCGUGGACGGGUCUAAGCUGGAAACGUACCUCUAGACUGGAGGGAAAUGCCUUUUCAUCCAAAAUUCACAGAUGUCUUUUAGGGGUUUUGCAUUAGUCAGGUAAGUCAACCCCUUCUCAUGAGACAAAAUAAAACCCAAGUCCUUAUACUAGGGCUAAUUAGCAGGUUUUGAAGAUCCAACAGUUACGGAAACAUUUUUCAAUAAGAAGCAGUUUCUGUGAACAGCUAAGUAGGAGGACAUACGGACACACUCCUGCUUCCACAUGGCUCCUGCCAUCACAUGUGUAUGGAAAGAGGAAAAGACAAGCCUAUUUCUUACAAUACCUGAAUUGCACGCACAUGCAAGCUUUCUAGUUUGGGUUUUUUUGCUGUCAAAACGGUUCAACUUAUCCUGACAUUUGUACAGUUGUGACAAUGAGACUGAAGAAACUUUAAAGUUAGUCUUGCGUUGAAAUUAAACAUGUACUUGAGUUUUAA
This is a long non-coding RNA of Harpia harpyja (harpy eagle), 983 nucleotides long. RefSeq lists it as uncharacterized. The transcript has 2 exons. Lineage: Eukaryota; Metazoa; Chordata; Aves; Accipitriformes; Accipitridae. The record is from RefSeq and is a predicted model, not a curated record.